This 510-nucleotide ribosomal RNA is filed under the name uncultured bacterium. RNAcentral's name for it is "partial 16S ribosomal RNA". It matches the Rfam family "Bacterial small subunit ribosomal RNA", at positions 28 to 507 of the family's 1533-position model. The record is from RNAcentral.
GACGAACGCUGGCGGCGUGCUUAACACAUGCAGGUCGAACGAAGAGCGAUGGAAGCUUGCUUCUAUCAAUCUUAGUGGCGAACGGGUGAGUAACGCGUAAUCAACCUGCCCUUCAGAGGGGGACAACAGUUGGAAACGACUGCUAAUACCGCAUACGAUCUAACCUCGGCAUCGAGGAUAGAUGAAAGGUGGCCUCUACAUGUAAGCUAUCACUGAAGGAGGGGAUUGCGUCUGAUUAGCUAGUUGGAGGGGUAACGGCCCACCAAGGCGAUGAUCAGUAGCCGGUCUGAGAGGAUGAACGGCCACAUUGGGACUGAGACACGGCCCAGACUCCUACGGGAGGCAGCAGUGGGGAAUCUUCCGCAAUGGACGAAAGUCUGACGGAGCAACGCCGCGUGAGUGAUGACGGCCUUCGGGUUGUAAAGCUCUGUUAAUCGGGACGAAAGGCCUUCUUGCGAAUAGUUAGAAGGAUUGACGGUACCGGAAUAGAAAGCCACGGCUAACUACGUG